This 1491-nucleotide ribosomal RNA is filed under the name uncultured soil bacterium. RNAcentral describes it as "bacterial SSU rRNA". It matches the Rfam family "Bacterial small subunit ribosomal RNA". The record is from RNAcentral.
AGAGUUUGAUCAUGGCUCAGGACGAACGCUGGCGGCGUGCCUAACACAUGCAAGUCGAGCGAAGUUUUUAAAGUGAAUUCUUUCGGGAUGAAACUUUAAAUGUCUUAGCGGCGGACGGGUGAGUAACGCGUGAGAAACCUGCCUUUCACAAAGGGAUAGCCUCGGGAAACUGGGAUUAAUACCUUAUGAUACUUAGCUACCGCAUGGUAGAGAAGUUAAAGCGUAAAGCGGUGAAAGAUGGUCUCGCGUCCCAUUAGUUAGUUGGUGAGGUAACGGCUCACCAAAACUGCGAUGGGUAGCCGGCCUGAGAGGGUGAACGGCCACACUGGAACUGAGACACGGUCCAGACUCCUACGGGAGGCAGCAGUGGGGAAUAUUGCACAAUGGAGGAAACUCUGAUGCAGCGACGCCGCGUGAAUGAUGAAGGCCUUCGGGUCGUAAAAUUCUGUCCUAGGGGACGAUAAUGACGGUACCCUAGGAGGAAGCCCCGGCUAACUACGUGCCAGCAGCCGCGGUAAUACGUAGGGGGCGAGCGUUGUCCGGAAUUAUUGGGCGUAAAGGGUUCGCAGGCGGUUUUUUAAGUCAGAUGUGAAAGGCUACGGCUCAACCGUGGUAAGCAUUUGAAACUGAAAGACUUGAGUUAAGGAGAGGAAAGUGGAAUUCCUAGUGUAGCGGUGAAAUGCGUAGAUAUUAGGAGGAAUACCAGUGGCGAAGGCGACUUUCUGGACUUAUACUGACGCUGAGGAACGAAAGCGUGGGGAGCAAACAGGAUUAGAUACCCUGGUAGUCCACGCCGUAAACGAUGAGUGCUAGGUGUUGGGGGUCAAACCUCGGUGCCGCAGCUAACGCAUUAAGCACUCCGCCUGGGGAGUACGUACGCAAGUAUGAAACUCAAAGGAAUUGACGGGGACCCGCACAAGCAGCGGAGCAUGUGGUUUAAUUCGAAGCAACGCGAAGAACCUUACCAGGGCUUGACAUGCCACUGACCGGUCUAGAGAUAGACUUUUACCUUCGGGUACAGUGGACACAGGUGGUGCAUGGUUGUCGUCAGCUCGUGUCAUGAGAUGUUGGGUUAAGUCCCGCAACGAGCGCAACCCUUGCCUUUAGUUGCCAUCAUUAAGUUGGGCACUCUAGAGGGACUGCCGAUGAUAAAUCGGAGGAAGGUGGGGAUGACGUCAAAUCAUCAUGCCCUUUAUGUCCUGGGCUACACACGUGCUACAAUGGUCGGUACAACGAGUUGCUACCUAGUGAUAGGACGCUAAUCUCUAAAAGCCGAUCCCAGUUCGGAUUGUAGGCUGCAACUCGCCUACAUGAAGUUGGAGUCGCUAGUAAUCGCGAAUCAGAACGUCGCGGUGAAUGCGUUCCCGGGUCUUGUACACACCGCCCGUCACACCAUGGGAGUAGGCAAUACCCGAAGCCAGUGAGCUAACCAGUAAUGGAGGCAGCUGUCGAAGGUAGGGUCAAUGACUGGGGUGAAGUCGUAACAAGGUA